AGGCAAUCUAUAAAACAAUACAUUUACAUAUUAUUGUGCUGAGACUCCCACACUUACAUUGUGCUAGCCAAAUGGAUAAUAAAUGUAAACAAAAUAUGUUACUUUAUUUUGUGAUUCCAUCAACACACGUCCAAUAUCUGGUACACCAGAGUUUUUGACAGGAGAAAAAGACAAAUCUUGUUUCUGGAAAGAAUGUAAACAGCUGCAUGUGCAGUCACAUAUACCAAUCUCAAUGUCAAAGGGACAUUAUAGUAAGUUGUUUAUGGGUCUGACAUUUAGUCAUUUUUUAAAACUAUCCACUG
Molecule: non-coding RNA, 302 nt
Organism: Pelobates cultripes (western spadefoot toad)
Lineage: Eukaryota; Metazoa; Chordata; Amphibia; Anura; Pelobatidae
Source: the annotation of a GenBank genome assembly